GAUGAACGCUGGCGGCGUGCCUAACACAUGCAAGUCGAACGGGGUUUUAACGCUUCCGAAGCUUCGGCAGAGGAUUGUUAAAACUUAGUGGCGGACGGGUGAGUAACGCGUGGGUAACCUGCCUCAUACAGGGGGAUAGCAGUUGGAAACGACUGGUAAUACCGCAUAAGCGCACGGUGCUGCAUGGCACAGUGUGAAAAACUCCGGUGGUAUGAGAUGGACCCGCGUCCGAUUAGCCAGUUGGCGGGGUAACGGCCCACCAAAGCGACGAUCGGUAGCCGGCCUGAGAGGGCGGACGGCCACAUUGGGACUGAGACACGGCCCAGACUCC
This 331-nucleotide ribosomal RNA is filed under the name uncultured Butyrivibrio sp. RNAcentral describes it as "bacterial SSU rRNA". It matches the Rfam family "Bacterial small subunit ribosomal RNA", at positions 28 to 339 of the family's 1533-position model. The record is from RNAcentral. Lineage: Bacteria; Bacillati; Bacillota; Clostridia; Lachnospirales; Lachnospiraceae.